AUAAAAAUCACCUUUUUAAAAACAUAAUUUAGUUUGUUUGGAUACAACUAAAAAAAGCGAUCUUUUUUCUUUAAAAAAAAAAAAAGCGAUCUUUUUGUUACAAAAUUUUAGUUUAAUCUUUAGAUCCAUAUUUUCUCUCUCCUCUAAAAAAAAUCUAUUUUUUGACAAACUGCCCUCAAUCUCAUUUAAAGCUGUUUUCAGAUUCUAAUUUUAUUUUUUUUUAAAUUUGUAACAAACAGAUGCAAUAUUCUUAAAAGUGAUUAUUUUCUUAAAAAAAGUGAUUUUUACCUAAAAAAAACCUAUAACUAACAGGGCCUAAAUGAACUAAAGUGACUGAGUUAAUUUCGUGUCAUAUUUGUUUUGUCGGCUAGAGUAAUUUCGUGUCAUAUUUGUUUUGUCGGCUAGAGUAAUAAAAUGUAAGGGUCUAAAUGCAUUUUUGGUCCUUUGAUUUCAAAUUUUUUAAGUUUUUAUCCCCUAUAUUAUAAAUCAACUUUUUGGUCCCUACAUGUUUUUUUUUAUUAUGACUUUUCAUCCUUCACUCUAUUUUGGGGACAAUUUUUAAGAUGUUUGGAUAAACAACUUACACACAUGCUUAUAGCAUUAGAGUUUAUUGAACAAGAACUUACAUCAUAAGCUCUUAUACUCAAUAAGCUUUUUUCGUUUAGAUAAGUACAUUAAAAAGUACUUACAUAAAUUGAAGUGUUUGAAUGUGUCAUGAUAUAAGCAUUUAUAAAAUAU
RNAcentral lists this long non-coding RNA (738 nucleotides) under Medicago truncatula (barrel medic). RNAcentral's name for it is "lncRNA gene26542". Lineage: Eukaryota; Viridiplantae; Streptophyta; Magnoliopsida; Fabales; Fabaceae. The record is from RNAcentral.